GCAGCCGCUGCCUUCUGGCUGGGCCGUGGAGGGCACAGUGAUAACGUCAACGCCGAGCCCCUGGCAGGAUUCAGUGACGAUCCCGACAUCGAUUUUGGGGUCGCGACCGUGAG
RNAcentral lists this non-coding RNA (113 nucleotides) under Apocalathium aciculiferum. The record is from RNAcentral. Lineage: Eukaryota; Dinophyceae; Thoracosphaerales; Thoracosphaeraceae.